GUGGGGAAUUUUGGACAAUGGGCGAAAGCCUGAUCCAGCAAUGCCGCGUGAGUGAAGAAGGCCUUCGGGUUGUAAAGCUCUUUUGUCAGGGAAGAAACGGGAGUGGCUAAUAUCCAUUCCUAAUGACGGUACCUGAAGAAUAAGCACCGGCUAACUACGUGCCAGCAGCCGCGGUAAUACGUAGGGUGCAAGCGUUAAUCGGAAUUACUGGGCGUAAAGCGUGCGCAGGCGGUUUUGUAAGUCUGUCGUGAAAUCCCCGGGCUCAACCUGGGAAUUGCGAUGGAGACUGCAAGGCUAGAAUCUGGCAGAGGGGGGUAGAAUUCCACGUGUAGCAGUGAAAUGCGUAGAGAUGUGGAGGAACACCGAUGGCGAAGGCAGCCCCCUGGGUCAAGAUUGACGCUCAUGCACGAAAGCGUGGGGAGCAAACAGGAUUAGAAACCCGAGUAGUCC
RNAcentral lists this ribosomal RNA (450 nucleotides) under uncultured bacterium. RNAcentral's name for it is "bacterial SSU rRNA". It matches the Rfam family "Bacterial small subunit ribosomal RNA", at positions 354 to 796 of the family's 1533-position model. The record is from RNAcentral.